Vitis vinifera (wine grape) is the source of this 5827-nucleotide RNA transcript. It is a transcript of the gene named DNA repair protein XRCC2 homolog, with no coding region annotated. NCBI's taxonomy places the organism in Eukaryota, Viridiplantae, Streptophyta, Magnoliopsida, Vitales, Vitaceae. The record is from RefSeq and is a predicted model, not a curated record. The transcript is spliced from 11 exons.
CAUUUAGUGAUGUUCAUUGACUUGGAUUGUCGCUUUGACAUUUUAUGCCUUUCACAGUCAUUAAAGCAUAGGCUCAUGGAAACUAGUGGAUCUACAGUAGCGGAUGAGGCAUAAUACAGGAGAACCUUUGUUUCUUGAAUGUUGGUGUUGUUGGCUAGUUGUGGGUCAGCCUGAGAAGGUAAAUGCUGAUAGCCUUGCUGCUUACCUGCUCAUUUAUGGUGACAAAUGUUUUGGAGCUGUUACGGAGUUCUUGUUGGAUUUAUGCCUGUUGAUGUAGUUGCCACAUCUAAGAGCUAUGGAAAAUACAAGUGAUGUCUCUAUGGGUUUGGAUUUGAUUGGUUUAGAGUCCUUAUUUGGUGGAGUUAGUGCCAAUGGUGGUGUUUGAGGCUGGUUUAAUGGGUAAGAUUGGUAAACAAAGAGAAACUAGGGUUUGGGGCUUAGGUUCAAUGGUAGAGACGCUUGGAGUGCCACACAUGGCCUUUAACAGCGAAAAGAUGUAUUGGAAGAAAUAAUACUGUAAAGUAACAUGUAUAGAUAAAUAAAGAAAAAAUUCUGGAUUCAAGGCUCUAACAAAAUGACGGUUUCUUUAAGAUAAAUUUGCCACCCUUCCAGUAACUUUAUGAGUGCAAAUAGGACAAUUGGAAAAAAAGGGUAUACGAGAAGGCAUUUUUUUCUAAAGUUUUCUGGUUUAUAGGAUUUGCAUUGCUUGUAAAUAGCCUCAACUUCAAAUAAAUAAAACUAAAAUGCCAGGGAUAUGAGAAGAAGGCAUUUUUCUUUUCUAUUUUUUGUAUAAUAUAAGACAUAUUUUGAAAUAUUCUAACAAGGUGAUGGUUCCUUGAGGGAGUCUUUCUUAAGUGUUAAGAGGACACCCAGUAAGGGGACUAGAUGAGCGUAGGAGAAAGAAGUGCUACUUGAAUCAGUGGGCUUAUUGAUUGAGCACUUCAAAAUCUUAUAAACUGUUACUUUUGUAAUCAGGUAGACCAGUGGGAGGACCAGAUUCUAGGGCUAGGUGGUUUUUCUGAGAUCCCUUGUCCUCCAUGUGGGGAGGGGAUUAGUCUGGUUCCUUGUGGCCAACUGGACGUAUCACUUCAGUAUAUUUGUUGAGUGUUUAUCUGUUUAGGCAUCAGAUUCUUUUGGUGCCUAGAUCUUAGGACAUGGGAACACCACUAAAUAAUCAUUUUUUUUCCUCAUUCUAUAACCUGGGCCAAAUUGAAGUAUAUCUCUAAUUUGAAAAGUUUGAUGUGGGUAUUUGACUUGUAUUCAUGCAACAAACAAACGGAUAACAGGUGUCUAAGGUAACUGAAGGAACUUUGUUUCUUCUUCUUCCUUUUUUUGAUCUGUUGGGUAAAUGGUCUGACCAAUAGGCAUGUUAGGCACACAUUCUUAGUCCUCACCCAAACCCUUUUCAUAUCAUGUCUAACAUGGGGUACAUUCACACACUAUGGAGUUUGCACGUGACAUUUGCAAAUUGCAAUCAAUAUUGCAUCAAGGAUUUUCUUGUUUUUGGCCAAGAUAUUUUAUGCUUCACACAAUAACUUAUUGAUCACCUCUUUUCAAUCUCUGGGCUAGGACAUAAUAGUUUAUAAAUUCCAUCCACAAAGCCUAUCUGUAUAAAGUCCUUAAGAUUCUCAAUUCCCCCUCUCCUUGGAACAAGAGUAAUGAAAGUUGCAUUCAAGCUUUUCUUGGACUCUCUGAUAUCAUGAAAUGAGUUUUGCUCUCUCAGUACCUGCUUUUAACCACAUUCAAUUAUGUUGCUAGAUUGCCAUUUUGAACUGGUCUAGGCUUGGAGCCUUAUCUUCAUUUUCCUUUUGGAGCCUUCAUAGCCUCCUCCCCAAAUUCUUCUUCAAGCCACCAUUCUCAAUCAAGCUAGUAGACUGGAAUUCCAUACUGUCCAACCUAUUUUCCAAUGGUAUUUGAAAAAGGUUGAUGAAGUAGUGAACUAAUCUAUUUCACAUAUCUUCCCUCAUGUUCAUUCUCAUUGUCCUCAAUCUCCUAGUAAGGUUGUCUAUAAUGAGCAUUCCACACUUGCUAAAGAACUUUGUAUUUAGAACCCCCAUCCUUUCAAAAUUCAUCCCUGGUAUCUGAUGCCAAAACCUUCAUUUUGGCCAAUCCAAAGACUUCCUUCACAUGACACCUCCACUUUUGACAAACCCCUUUCUUUUUCCUUGUCCUGUUCCUUUAUCUUUUCCAUGUUGCAUUUUUUUCCCAUCUUUUCUAGUUGGAAUAACUCUUGCUUUUUUUUUUUUUUUUUUUUUUUUUGCUGCUAUACCCUGAGUCACUUUCAUCGUUCUUUUUAAGGCCUUCCUUGAGUGGUUGUCUUCUUAACCAUAAUUAAACUAUCAAUUCUUUAUCACUUGAUAACCCCUUUUCUUUUAACCUUAUGACUUCAACUCUGAACAUACAUUUUCCCCUCCAUAAAUCACCACUAUCAAACAAAAUCAGGGUGUGGCACAUGUGGAGAAACACGUUUCUUAAGGAAUUUUGACUUUGUAUUUUAUGUAAAUAGGUUUAAAUUUGGUAGAUAAUGUAAUCUUUGAUUUUUUGGGAUUUAAUCCCUGAUUUUUUGGGAUUUAAUCCCUGAUUUAUAGGGAUUUAGUUUACUGAUUUAUGGGGAUUUGGUUUAGGGUAGUUUUAGUUUUCUAUAAUACUCCUAUGGCUUGUCCUUUUUGAUAUAACCAGAUGAGUAUUCUAUUUAGAAUGUAUGAGAUUUUCUUCUCAAUUUUUCCACAUGGUAUCAGAGCCUUAGGCUCUCAGAAUUCACAUUCUUUUGUCCUUUGUCAACCUGGUUUUCUUCUUAAGACCUAGUAUUCUUCUAUAGUCAAGUUCUGGUUCUCUGCCCCUUAUUCAAUCAGAGUUUCUAGUUCUUUGCUCUUUCUUCAAUUUAGAAGAAAAAGAAAACAUCCACCAUGUCUAAGACAUCCGAAGCCACCAACAUUUUUUUUUUGAUCAGAAACAAACAUAUGUAUUAAUUGAGAAUAAAAAGAACAUGAGAAGGAUGAGAAAUCCUCCUCAAGAAAUACAAACCUGAUAAAAGAACUGAGAAAACCUCCACUUUACAAUGGGGCUAUACAAAAAGUACAAAAAACCUAUACAAGUGUAACAGCUCCUGACCCUGUAGACCCAGCCCUAAGGUGUACAAAUCGAAAGCCAACUAAGUUGAAUUACACUCAAAGGGUAGGGUUUAAAAACGUUUGUACAAUAAACCCAAAAGAAACAAGGAAAUCAAGCAAAUUCCACAUCAUGUCUUCCAAGUAUCCUAAAAAGUCCUAGUUUUCCUCUCUCUUCACACAAUCCAUAACAAAGAAAGACAUGUGAUCCUCCGAAGCCACCAAUGUUCCUGCAGUACAACCAACUGAAGGGCUGCCAAGUCAGUUCAAUGGGGAGCUUCAAAACAUUCACGCCACAUACCGGUUGAAUGGGAAGAAUUAUUUGUAGGUCACAAGUUGUGAAGACAUUCUUGAAGGGGAAAGGAAAGUCACUUGUUGUGUAUGGGACCAGAGCAAAGUGAUCCCAAAUUCCAGAUUUGGGAUGAGGAAGAUUCCAUGAUUAUGUCAUGGCUUUGGAAUUCAAUACUACCUGAGAUUAGUAGCACUUUCAUGUUUUUGUCCACAGCUAAAGAAAUUUGGGAGGCAGUGAGACAGACUUACUGAAAGUUACGGGGUGCAGCACAAAUAUUUGAGAUAAAGAUGAAGAUUUCAGCCACCAAAGAAGGUGAGCGUUUGGUGAUUGAAUAUGCCAAUCUCCUGAAAUAUUUGUGUCAAGAGAUGAAUUAUUAUCAAUUCAUUCAAAUGAAGGAUAGUCAGGAUGCUGCCAUAUUGAAAAGAUUUGUUGAGAAAGAAAGAAUUUUCGAAUUCCUUGUUGGUCUAAAUCUAGAGUUUGAUCAAGUCUGAGUUCAGGUCUUAGGAAAAGAGGACCUACCAUCUAUAAAUGAAACUAUUUCCAUAAUUCGAGCAGAGAAAGGAAGAAGAGGUGUAAUGAUGAAUGAAACACCUACGGUAAAAGCUCAGCUGUGCUGUCAAACGCUGGAAAUAUGAAGAAUGUUGUAGAAAAUCAGUCCAAUGUUGCAAACAAACAACCAGAUUCGUCCAGGUGGUGUAAUAACUGCAAGAAACCUGGGCACACUAAGAGUGCGUUUGGUAGUGGUUCUAAAAAACGUUUCUAACAUUUUAAAUACUUAAAUAAUGAAAAUUUUCAAGUAUUAAAAAUGUUAGAAACACUUUCUAAAAUCAUUACCAAACGGGCUCUAAGGAUAUGUGCUGGAAGUUGCACGAAAGGCCACCAAACUUCAACAACAAUAAUAGGGGAUGGAGACCUAAUGGUGAACAACAACAAAAAGUUCAAGGGCAGACAAAUCUCACCAACAUCAAUCUGCUAAAUGAUGAGAAUGAGACCCAAACACAUGGAGAGUUCAAGGAGGAUAUUGAGAGGCUGAAAAGAUUGUUAAGAUCAUUUGAAAAACCCUUUGGUGCUUGCUCCUUAUCACUUUCAGGAUCUGGCAAUAAAGUAAAUUGGGAACAAAAUGAUGAUCCUUGGGGCUCUGGUACAGAGGAGCCAAAUAUUGGUUAUGAUGAGGAACUAUUUGCAGCAUGCAUGAGACGGUUCUUGUACAUCCGUUGUUAUGAUAGUUUUGAAUUUCUUGCCACUCUCAAGACAUUACGCUAUCGACUUCAAAGAGCAAGAGAAACACAUGGUGUUACUGCUCAUUUCCUUAUGAUUGACAGCAUUGGAGCAUUUUAUUGGGUAGAUCGUGCCUCAACAUCUCUGCAUCUAGAGAGUAAUAGCAGGAAAAGACUCUCCCUUCAAAGUAUAUCAGAAACUGUAGUUGAGGAGAUCAGAAAGCUGCUUCUUGUGCAUCCCAUGCUUGUACUUGCUACAAAAGCUACCAUUUUAGGGGACACAUACUCAACAAAUGAAGUCAAGAGGACUUCCAUGAAAUUGUCUUCAAAUGAUCCCUCAAAUUUAAGAACUGUAACAGGUGGUCCUCAGAAACUUUCAUAUCGUGAAUUUAUGCCUUUGGUCUGGCAGUCUUUUGUUACUCACAGGAUACUUGUACGAGCAGCAGAUGAUGAUCCUGCUAAUAGCAAAUAUCAAAGUCGGUCAAUCUUUUUGUCAGAAUGGUUGAUGCCAUCAUUAAAUUUUUCGGACAAAUUUAUAGUGAGAGAUGCUGGUGUCUUCGUUGUUUCGUGAAGUGCAUUUGUGGAGACAUGAAAUAAGAUUUUACUUCUUGUACCCAGCCAUCUCAUAUGAUAUCAGGAUUUGUGCAAAUAGAUGUUGAUGACUAGUUCGGUGAGGUUCAAGGUUCAUAUAGGAACGGACUCCAAAAGGGUGUUAGAAGGGGGUGUUAGUUAGAAUUGGGGGUAUGCGAGAUAUUAGGGUGUGGCUCUGAGGGUGAGCUUCCCAGACUAGCACCAUUGGAGAGAAUGAAGCAAUGUUAUUAAAACAUAUAAGCUGGUCAUGGAGUUGGGAGUCUGAGCUGGUGGAUACUUUGAUAUGAUUAUUUAUAUAGAAAUAGAGAUAAACAUGGAAGCAGCAGAUGAUAUGGAGUGAAAAUUAGAAGUUGGGAUAUGUUCUAAAUGAGGUCUACGGUUGUAGGAGCAGAGAGGAGGCUAAGUUCCCAUGUAACAAAAAGGCAGGAGAGAGGAUGGGAUGGCAGUUCCAAUUAUCUAAUGGAAAGUGCAGAUCACUGUAGUUUCCAAUUAUCAAAUUAUAAUCAUAUAGAUUUGACACCCAAUUCAUUCCCUUAUCUCAAUCCUAUGUUGUUGUCCUAAGUUCAAUGAUAUUUUUUGUCUUUAUGCAAAAAGGUAAAUGCGAAAAGAUUUUUCUAUCA